RNAcentral lists this non-coding RNA (99 nucleotides) under unclassified sequences. RNAcentral describes it as "wcaG RNA". It matches the Rfam family "wcaG RNA". The record is from RNAcentral.
UCUGGUUUCUUGCUUCUCCAUAAAAAAGCAAGUGGUGCGGAUGGGGUAACCCCGCCUGGUUUCUUGCCUCCAGUCAAAGGGCAAGUGGCGAGCCUGAGU